GGAGGAAGCAGGGGAUCGCAAGACCUUGCGCUUUUGGAGCGGCCGAUGUCUGAUUAGCUUGUUGGUAAGGUAAAAGCUUACCAAGGCUUCGAUCAGUAGCUGGUCUGAGAGGACGACCAGCCACACUGGGACUGAGACACGGCCCAGACUCCUACGGGAGGCAGCAGUGGGGAAUUUUGGACAAUGGGGGCAACCCUGAUCCAGCCAUGCCGCGUGAGUGAAGAAGGCCUUCGGGUUGUAAAGCUCUUUCAGCCGGAACGAAACGGUUACGGUUAAUACCCGUGACUACUGACGGUACCGGAAGAAGAAGCACCGGCUAACUACGUGCCAGCAGCCGCGGUAAUACGUAGGGUGCGAGCGUUAAUCGGAAUUACUGGGCGUAAAGCGUGCGCAGGUGGUUUUGUAAGUCAGAUGUGAAAUCCCCGGGCUCAACCUGGGAACUGCGUUUGAAACUACAAAGCUAG
Molecule: ribosomal RNA, 464 nt
Filed under: uncultured bacterium
Lineage: Bacteria
Description: bacterial SSU rRNA
Rfam family: Bacterial small subunit ribosomal RNA
Source: RNAcentral